UACGUAGGGGGCAAGCGUUGUCCGGAAUUACUGGGCGUAAAGCGCGCGCAGGCGGCCUUUCAAGUCGGUGGUGAAAUCCCAGAGCUCAACUCUGGAAUUGCCAUCGAAACUGUAAGGCUUGGGUACGGGAGAGGUGAGUGGAAUUCCGAGUGUAGAGGUGAAAUUCGUAGAUAUUCGGAAGAACACCAGUGGCGAAGGCGGCUCACUGGCCCGUUACCGACGCUCAGGCGCGACAGCGUGGGGAGCAAACAGG
RNAcentral lists this ribosomal RNA (253 nucleotides) under uncultured bacterium. RNAcentral's name for it is "partial 16S ribosomal RNA". It matches the Rfam family "Bacterial small subunit ribosomal RNA", at positions 524 to 776 of the family's 1533-position model. The record is from RNAcentral.